UACGUAGGGUGCGGAGCGUUGUCCGGAAUUAUUGGGCGUAAAGAGCUUGUAGGCGGUUUGUCGCGUCUGCUGUGAAAUCUCAAGGCUCAACCUUGAGCUUGCAGUGGGUACGGGCAGACUAGAGUGUGGUAGGGGGAGACUGGAAUUCCUGGUGUAGCGGUGAAAUGCGCAGAUAUCAGGAGGAACACCGAUGGCGAAGGCAGGUCUCUGGGCAUUAACUGACGCUGGAGGAGCGAAAGCAUGGGGAGCGAACAGG
Molecule: ribosomal RNA, 256 nt
Filed under: uncultured bacterium
Lineage: Bacteria
Description: partial 16S ribosomal RNA
Rfam family: Bacterial small subunit ribosomal RNA
Source: RNAcentral